This is a small nuclear RNA of Fukomys damarensis (Damara mole-rat), 142 nucleotides long. Its record names the gene U4. It matches the Rfam family "U4 spliceosomal RNA". Rfam says of the family: U4 small nuclear RNA (U4 snRNA) is a component of the major U2-dependent spliceosome. The structure of U4 snRNA from yeast and human has been reported. Lineage: Eukaryota; Metazoa; Chordata; Mammalia; Rodentia; Bathyergidae. The record is from Ensembl.
AGCUUUGCACAGUGACAGUAUCGUAGCCAAUAAGGUUUAUCCGAGGCACGAUUAUUGCUAAUUGAAAGCUUUUCCACUGGUAGAUGAAUGGAUGAAAUGCGAUGUAUGCCAACAAUAAAAUAUUAUUCACUCUGGAAAAAGA